This is a non-coding RNA of Aegilops tauschii subsp. strangulata, 2694 nucleotides long. Lineage: Eukaryota; Viridiplantae; Streptophyta; Magnoliopsida; Poales; Poaceae. The record is from RefSeq and is a predicted model, not a curated record.
GCUCAACUGACUCGCCUGUCGUUGACUCGAUGAAAUUGCUGCCCCGCACGAGGGUUUCUUCGGCCGCCGCGCCCCCAUCCCUCCGCCACCGCCCUGCGGUGCCCGCUCGGUCCGCGGUCGCCAAAUAUGGACGAGAUCGACAGGAUCCACCGCAUCUCGUGCGACACCCAGCCGCUGCUGCUCAUCGGCCAUGCGGGGAGCACGGACGAGCUGCUCGUCGACAUCCAUCCCGCAGCACCGCCGAAAACGGUGCCCAGCCUCCUCAACAGCGGGCGCCUCCUACUUGCCACACGAACGGCCGCGUCGCCGAGCUGCAGCGGGUGCCGUCGCGGACGAGACGCCGCAAUGCCGCGUGGUGACGCCGCUUGUGUCGGAGCCUGAAGCGCCCGCUGAGCUGGCACGGUGGUGGCUCCGCUGUAUGUGGGAGAUCGGUUCCGUCCUCAACUUCCUCCACGUGCGUGUCCCUUUUCUACCAUCAUACCCCCAGCGACCAGCAGAUCGGCGUACUGGGUUUGCUUCUUCGCUUAGGCUUCUAGGAAUUUACUGCUAAUCUUUAGUUUUCUUGCAUUAACUAUUUGAGCACAUGGUACAGUAGCAGCAUGGCUGAUGCCUCUAUUUCAUCGCUGGAACAUACUUCAUUCAUUGAUUUACUAGAGUAUAUAUGUAUUUGAUCACAUGCUCUGCUUAGGCAAUACAUGUUGUUCAGCCAGCAUCUCUAGGACUGGUUAUGUUGCAAACAAUUUAAUGCCAGUAUUGAUAUUCCAUUCAAUAAACUAACAGAGAUCCAAACUGCAGGUUGCAGAAGGUGAUGUACCAAUAGUUGCAUCACAUGGCUUAGUCCUGUACAUGAGAAUUGCUUGAUGAUAUAUUCUGAUUCAGUCUUAUCUUCAUAGUUUUUCUAAUUGUUCAAUCUUGUGCAGAUCUGAAAUUGAAUUGAAGGAGCUUGAACCAUCGACUCGCUUACUGAUCUUGAAAGCGAUAUGCGACAUACGUGUCGAGGUUCGUGCUAUCGCCAUCCUAGGGAGGCAAUGAAGUUUUUCAAAGUGCCGAUCUUUUCAGAUGUGCAUUGCGGUAGAGAACUGUUACACCAUUUUGAUGUUAUUGUUAGAAAGCUUAUUUCACUAUGCCGAGAAGCGAUACAGGGGCAUGAAGCAAGCAAGCAGGUGUGCGCAGCGACCUGCUACUGCACUAAUAGCCUUGACAGAGCACCGUGCUCCCGUCGUUGUUGGCUGUCGAAUUUGCAAUGCAAUCCAUCCCUAUGUCGAUGUCUUAACCACUUCGUACUUCUGCACAAUCAGCAGAACAUAGCAGCUGCCGCAAUUUACCCAUUGAUUUCUUGGAGUGAUCCAAACCUAGGAAAGCCUGCUACUUGUGCAAGCAACAGGGUAAGAAGUUUUAGUUUUCUUACUAAUGCACCUCAAUUUGUAAGGUUAGAACAUUUUAUUCACCCAUCCUAUUUUUUCUCUAUACUGAUGAUCAUUUUUUCAUCUCUGUGAUCUUCUUUGCUCCAGUUGUGUUAAUACUUUGUUUGCACGUCAGUGGAAAUUAAAAUUUCUUGCUACCAUGAGAGUUACUCCAUGUCAGUAUGUACAUGCAGAUGUAAGCAAUGGAGAAACUCGUGCAGAUGAUGAUUGAAAUUUUUUUUCAUGAAUUUUCCAACCUAAAUUGGCUACAGAGUUGGGGAAAAGACGAGUCUAGGCUCUUUAUGAACACAUCUUCUUUCCCAGGUGACUAACAGUUGGCACCUCUAUACAUUGCAUCAGGCCAACGCUACAAAGCCCCUGUAUGCCUCUGCCUGCCUGCCUCAAUGGACGUUCCGGUCACAAAAAAGUAGAUAAAAAUACUCAUCAGUUUGUCAGAAUACAUGUUGGUUAUCUUAUGAACAAGUAUAGCUGUCAGCAGAGUACAAGAAAAUAUGUUUCGGUUUUUCCAUGAAGCAAACUUAUACUAUGAUUAUCACAUUUUGAUCUUGGAGUAAUGGUCGACUUUAGUAGAUGUUACUGCAGUAUACACCAGUCCCAUAUUUCUACCUACAAGUUUGAGCUCCAUCAGGAUAAUCAGAUUAGUGUACCACAACCUUGAUGUUUUUAAACAUGCAUAUUUUGUAGUUAUUUUAGUAUUAUGUAGAAUGCAUAUAUUUUUCACAGCAGAAAGAAAUGGAUGUAUAACCUGAUUUUGCAUUAUUAUUUAGUGCCAGUUGACUUUGUAAACCCCAGUUUCUCCAGUAUUGCAACUGUUAAAUCAUCAAAUUAAACUAAUCUUUCCCUUUGAACAGCUUGCUAUUUGUAAUAUUAUGAUUUUCCUUUUCAGAAACCACUUCAACUAGCCAGGACCAUGUCUAUUAGUCCUACAGUACUUUUUGGAAUGAGAUGACACAUUGUAUGCCAAGUAACAAGCAGUUGAAGCAAGAAUAUUUUUGUAAUUUCUUGGAAAGAAUGAGCCCCUGAACCCAGGAUGCAUGGCGAAGGAUCCAAUAUGUCAGGACCAAUAUGGGAAUUGCAGAGCUUCAUAUGCAAUUUAUUUUAGUUGCUUGCCUUCUUCAAGUGUCUAGAUUACAUGAAACAUGUUUCUUCAAGUGUCUACACACUACAGGAAGUAAGUUUCUUACAAAAGUAGUCAAACCUGGAUACCAAUUUAUUGGAACCAUUAUAUUUCUUAUAGAAGUAAUCCAAUAUAUUCUCUCUCUUAUGCCUA